AUGACAACUAUAUUUCACCUGUUGAGAAGAAAGCCACAUUUAAAACCUCUUGGCUAAUAUUUCAAAAAAACUAGAGGAUUCUAAAGCAGUCAGGACAAAAAAGUUGAUAUCUGAAACAGGUUGAUAGUUCUUGGAAGUUCAAAAAUAUCACAAUGGCUGGAUAGUCUUUUCAUAGGCACAACAGAAAAUAUUAGAAGAGUCAUGCCAGUUGCUACAGUUCCAGAAAGAGAGCAAAGAGAUCCUUUACGACCCCCAUGGGUUUACAGAAGUCUAUCAAUAACUCUCUCAGUCUUCCGGAUCAUUAUUCAAGUUGCUCUCCCCAACUUUUCUGGAUAUAUCAGAUCAACUCCAGCUCCAUAGGGCCUUCAAGGACAAGGAAACACAUCUCCUCAUGGUUCCAACUUGAGGUAGAAAUCUGACAGAUGGAUGAUGUGUUUUAUUCCUAUUUUUGGAACAGCAAAGUGGAGAACCGGUGAAUAUUAUAAGGACAUGCUGAAAAGUGCAUUGUUACUAUGGCAAUAAAAGAGAACAAAUGUGCAAAUUA
Erinaceus europaeus (western European hedgehog) is the source of this 544-nucleotide long non-coding RNA. RefSeq lists it as uncharacterized. The transcript has 4 exons. NCBI's taxonomy places the organism in Eukaryota, Metazoa, Chordata, Mammalia, Eulipotyphla, Erinaceidae. The record is from RefSeq and is a predicted model, not a curated record.